CAGCAGCCACGGUAAUACCGAGGGUGCAAGCGUUAAUCGGAUUUACUGGGCGUAAAGGGCGCGUAGGUGGUUAUGUAAGUGAGAUGUGAAAGCCCCCGGCUCAACCGGGGAGGGUCAUUGGAAACUGGGAAACUUGAGUGCAGAAGAGGAGAGUGGAAUUCCACGAGUAGCGGUAAAAUGCGUAGAUCUCGAGAGGAACACCAAUGGCGAAGGCAGCUUCUUGGUCCAUUCCUGACGUUCAUACACGAAAGCGUGGGGAGCAAACAGGAUUAGAUACCCCUGUAGUCCCUGUCUCUUAUAC
This 301-nucleotide ribosomal RNA is filed under the name uncultured bacterium. Its description in RNAcentral is "partial 16S ribosomal RNA". It matches the Rfam family "Bacterial small subunit ribosomal RNA", at positions 509 to 807 of the family's 1533-position model. The record is from RNAcentral.